RNAcentral lists this ribosomal RNA (432 nucleotides) under uncultured bacterium. Its description in RNAcentral is "partial 16S ribosomal RNA". It matches the Rfam family "Bacterial small subunit ribosomal RNA", at positions 29 to 507 of the family's 1533-position model. The record is from RNAcentral.
AACGAACGCUGGCGGCAGGCCUAACACAUGCAAGUCGAGCGAGGACUUCGGUCCUAGCGGCGGACGGGUGAGUAACGCGUGGGAACGUGCCCUUUGCUUCGGAAUAGCCCUGGGAAACUGGGAGUAAUACCGGAUGAGCCCUUUGGGGGAAAGAUUUAUCGGCGAAGGAUCGGCCCGCGUUGGAUUAGGUAGUUGGUGGGGUAAUGGCCUACCAAGCCGACGAUCCAUAGCUGGUUUGAGAGGAUGAUCAGCCACACUGGGACUGAGACACGGCCCAGACCCCACGGGGGGGAGGAAGGGGGGAUUCUGAACAAGGGGGGGAAACCCGAUUCUACCAUGGCCGGGGGGGGAAUAAGGGCUUUGGGGUGUAAAAGCCUUUUCACCGGGAAAAAAAAGGCGGGUCCCAGAAAAAGAACCCCGGCUAACCCCGUG